Trichoplusia ni (cabbage looper) is the source of this 978-nucleotide long non-coding RNA. RefSeq lists it as uncharacterized. The transcript is spliced from 6 exons. The record is from RefSeq and is a predicted model, not a curated record. NCBI's taxonomy places the organism in Eukaryota, Metazoa, Arthropoda, Insecta, Lepidoptera, Noctuidae.
ACUUAAUAUGUCAUUGAUACAAUUUGGUUAGGUUAACAGUACAAACGUACAAACAUAUCCAUCAGAAACUGUUAUGAACAUUUAAAUUAUCGUGAUAUUAAACGUCGUCCUCAUAACGCGGGUUCGGAAUGGAGAUAUGGUAAAAAGUAAAUAAAAAUAAAAUAUGGAAAAAGAAACUCCAGCUGGUUGGUAGUUUUGAAUUAUGUCACCUCGUAUUUUACUGAAAAUGUAACAACUGGAAAUCCUGUAUAAUGUGCCAUGACAACAUAGGUAAAUACUAUAUCUCGGAUCAAGCUAAAAGUUUAGUACUUAAAUCCAUGUCGACCGAAGUCGUAGGGAGUCUCAGUCAGCACCGAAAAGAAGAAGUCAGGCCGUAAACAAACCGGAGAAAAAGAGCCAUUGCAAUGGAUCCCUAACGUUAUCACGAGGAUCAUCACUAAUGUAAUCGUACUACCACCUCUUCUGGUUACGAUUCAAGUACUAAAGUUAUUCAGAAAAAUAUUUUAGAUGUUUUAUUAUUAUAACGGUCGCGAGUGGGAGGCAACAUGCGCUGCGUUCUUUUCAGUAAUUAAAUGAAAGAGAGAAGAAGUAUCUCCAAAUAUCUAGUCUUCGUGAAGGACUAAGCAAAUUGCCUGAGGCGGUGCCGCGACACGAUGAGCUUCGGGAAAGGUGUCUGCAAUAACUUUGAUCUGGUAGAGAUUGUGUUCAUAUGCGUCGCCUUCACAUUUAUUUUAAUUCUAGUGACGCAGGCAUGCCGUAUUCUAAGUUCUGGUUUCAUCCACUCAUAAACUAUUAAGAGGACUUUAAUGCAAUUCGGUUUGGAUUUCUUAAGUUAUGGAGACAAAAUAAGAAAGUUCAAAUAAAGGUACCCUGAUAAAUCACAAAUCUUAAGGUGCCGAAACAUUAGUUUCCCUGCAAGUUGAUAUAAAAAUAGAAGUCUUUCGUAUGAGAUGGACCAGUAAGUACGAAUUUAGUUUU